GACAGAGGGUGCAAACGUUGCUCGGAAUCACUGGGCGUAAAGGGCGUGUAGGCGGGUGGAUAAGUCGGGCGUGAAAUCCCUAGGCUCAACCUAGGAACUGCACUCGAAACUGUUUAUCUUGAGUGCCGGAGAGGAAAGCGGAAUUCCUGGUGUAGAGGUGAAAUUCGUAGAUAUCAGGAGGAACACCAGUGGCGAAGGCGGCUUUCUGGACGGUAACUGACGCUGAGACGCGAAAGCGUGGGGAGCAAACAGG
This 253-nucleotide ribosomal RNA is filed under the name uncultured bacterium. Its description in RNAcentral is "partial 16S ribosomal RNA". It matches the Rfam family "Bacterial small subunit ribosomal RNA", at positions 524 to 776 of the family's 1533-position model. The record is from RNAcentral.